GGGGCUGUAACUCAAUGGUAGAGUAUUUGCCUAGUAUGUAUGGGGCACUGGGUUCAAUCCCCAGCACCACCA
This is a non-coding RNA of Ictidomys tridecemlineatus (thirteen-lined ground squirrel), 72 nucleotides long. The record is from Rfam. NCBI's taxonomy places the organism in Eukaryota, Metazoa, Chordata, Mammalia, Rodentia, Sciuridae.